CCAGACGUUGAUGGGAAAUGGCUGACAGCAGGAUAAACAAGCAGCUCCCUUUUUAGUGAGCUUCAGAGGAAUCAGGUGGACAGAAUCAAGGUUUCAGACCCUGAACUAAAUACUGGAGAUGUGGAGCUCAAGAAGGCAUGAUUCCCGCCCUUAGGAGUGCACCAUCAAAGGAAGUUAGGAGUGCAUCUCCUCAAAGGAGGAGAUAGAAAGAAAAUAUGAGAGAGAGGGAAAAAAAGCUUGAUGACGUAGAUAUACAGUUUGAGUGUCUUUUCUAAUCUGGAUCAACUUCGAACCAAGAUGAAAGAAGCAUGGAAACAAAAGCACAAGAGAAGAAAAGGCAAGAAAAAUAAGGGGAGAGAGGAUGAUAAGAAUAGUACCAGGCUGGGCGCAGGGGCUCACGCCUGUAAUCCCAGCACUUUGGGAGGCUGAGGCAGGUGGGAUUGCCUGAGGUCAGGAGUUUGAGACCAGCCCGCCCAACAUGGUGAAACCCCAUCUCUAUCAAAAAUACAAAAAUUAAAUUAGCUGGGCGUGGUGGUGCACACAUGUAAUCUCAGCUACUUGGAAGGCUGAGGCAGGAGAAUUGCCUGAACCUGGGAGGCGGAGGUUGCAGUGAGCAGAGAUCGUGCCAUUGCACUUACAGCCUGGGUGACAAGAGCGAAACUCUGUCUCAAAAAAAAAAAGUACCGGCUGGGCGCGGUGGCUCACACCUGUAAUCCCAGCACUUUGGGAGGCCCAGGCAGGUGAAUCACGAGGUCAGGAGAUCG
This is a long non-coding RNA of Pongo pygmaeus (Bornean orangutan), 764 nucleotides long. RefSeq lists it as uncharacterized. The transcript has 3 exons. Lineage: Eukaryota; Metazoa; Chordata; Mammalia; Primates; Hominidae. The record is from RefSeq and is a predicted model, not a curated record.